UGAGAACUUUACAUUUAACUGUA
RNAcentral lists this non-coding RNA (23 nucleotides) under Arabidopsis thaliana (thale cress). The record is from RNAcentral. Lineage: Eukaryota; Viridiplantae; Streptophyta; Magnoliopsida; Brassicales; Brassicaceae.